CCAGACUCCUACGGGAGGCAGCAGUGGGGAAUAUUGCGCAAUGGGGGGAACCCUGGCGCAGCAACGCCGCGUGCAGGAAGAAGGUCUUCGGAUUGUAAACUGUUGUCGCAGGGGAAGAAGACAGUGACGGUACCCUGUGAGAAAGUCACGACUAACUACGUGCCAGCAGCCGCGGUAAUACGGAGGAUGCGAGCGUUAUCCGGAUUUAUUGGGUUUAAAGGGUGCGUAGGCGGGCUGUUAAGUCAGCGGUCAAAUGUCGGGGCUCAACCCCGGCCUGCCGUUGAAACUGGCGGCCUCGAGUGGGCGAGAAGUAUGCGGAAUGCGUGGUGUAGCGGUGAAAUGCAUAGAUAUCACGCAGAACUCCGAUUGCGAAGGCAGCAUACCGGCGCCCGACUGACGCUGAGGCACGAAAGCGUGGGUAUCGAACAGGAUUAGAUACCCCCGUA
This 446-nucleotide ribosomal RNA is filed under the name uncultured bacterium. RNAcentral describes it as "bacterial SSU rRNA". It matches the Rfam family "Bacterial small subunit ribosomal RNA", at positions 331 to 792 of the family's 1533-position model. The record is from RNAcentral.